UAUGGCCAGAUCACGUUGAAAUACCGGUUCCCGUACGAUUACCAAAGUUAAACAACGUUGAGCAUGAUCAGUGCCAGGAUGGGUGACCGCUUGGGAAUUCCA
Acanthosepion pharaonis is the source of this 102-nucleotide non-coding RNA. The record is from the annotation of a GenBank genome assembly. NCBI's taxonomy places the organism in Eukaryota, Metazoa, Mollusca, Cephalopoda, Sepiida, Sepiidae.